AACGAACGUUGGCGGCGUGGAUGAGGCAUGCAAGUCGAACGCGAAAGCCGCAAGGUGAGUAGAGUGGCGGACGGGCGAGUAACACGUAAUCAAGCUGCCUGCGAGACGGGGAUAACUUCGGGAAACCGAAGCUAAGACCCGAUGGUCUGCACGGACCGCAUGGUUUGUGCAGUAAAUGGGCGGGAUCCUCCGGGAUCGCCUGCUCGCAGAGGUGAUUGCGGCCCAUCAGCUAGUUGGUAGGGUAAUGGCCUACCAAGGCUACGACGGGUAGCCGGCCUUAGAGGGUGGUCGGCCGCACUGGGACUGAGACACUGCCCAGACUCCUACGGGAGGCUG
Molecule: ribosomal RNA, 336 nt
Filed under: uncultured Planctomycetota bacterium
Lineage: Bacteria; Pseudomonadati; Planctomycetota
Description: bacterial SSU rRNA
Rfam family: Bacterial small subunit ribosomal RNA
Source: RNAcentral